This 708-nucleotide long non-coding RNA is filed under the name Struthio camelus australis. RNAcentral's name for it is "lncRNA (ENSSCUG00000014573.1)". Lineage: Eukaryota; Metazoa; Chordata; Aves; Struthioniformes; Struthionidae. The record is from RNAcentral.
AUUGGCGAGAGGGCUGCAAAGCCUGGCUGGUGGGGGUAACCAGGGGGGCAGCGCUGCUGAAAAAUGGGGAACAGAGCUGCACCUGCUGUUUCAUUUUUGUUUCGAUUUUUGUAAACAUCAGUCUGUUUUAAAACAGUUUGCCUUUUUUUUUUUUCUUUUGCCUUUUAAACAGAAGAUACCUAUUGCUGGAGGUGUUGUGAGCAGGGAGAGGAUAAGCUGUUUGAUGCAGCGUGUGGUACCGAGCUGGGGGUAACGAAGGAGUGGGUAUGUUGCAGGUCAGCACGAGUUCAGGCAGCGAGGUCUAAAUAAAUUGUGCCAUUGCAGCAGCUAUCAUUUGAUGAGAGAGAAGGUUUUGGUCACUAGACCAGUUUGUCUGUGAUCUAUGUACCUUUUGAAAUCAGUACUGUAUUUACCUCAGCAGUGUAGAGGUCCGGGUACAAACCUAAAUAUUUUUUAGCACACUGAGAGUUUAGGAGUGACCAGAUAUUAUUAUAGUAUUAUCUUGAAGUGUGAAGGUGUGGAAACACCGUAAAACGAGGUAAAAUAUCAGAGACUGAAGUAAUGUCUUCAUGUGGUUCUGACCUGUCAUUGACUCGAGCUGUGUUUCUCUUAGGAGAAACAGAUUUCCCUGUGGUGCCAGAGCUGGAUAUAACUGUAUGGCACUCUUUCUUUGAGCUGCAGCUUUCCAUGUGUGCUGGAAGAGUGUGA